AAUCCAGAGAUGGAUUUGUGCCUUCGGGAACUGUGAGACAGGUGCUGCAUGGCUGUCGUCAGCUCGUGUUGUGAAAUGUUGGGUUAAGUCCCGCAACGAGCGCAACCCUUAUCCUUUGUUGCCAGCGGUCCGGCCGGGAACUCAAAGGAGACUGCCAGUGAUAAACUGGAGGAAGGUGGGGAUGACGUCAAGUCAUCAUGGCCCUUACGACCAGGGCUACACACGUGCUACAAUGGCGCAUACAAAGAGAAGCGACCUCGCGAGAGCAAGCGGACCUCAUAAAGUGCGUCGUAGUCCGGAUUGGAGUCUGCAACUCGACUCCAUGAAGUCGGAAUCGCUAGUAAUCGUGGAUCAGAAUGCCACGGUGAAUACGUUCCCGGGCCUUGUACACACCGCCCGUCACACCAUGGGAGUGGGUUGCAAAAGAAGUAGGUAGCUUAACCUUCGGGAGGGCGCUUACCACUUUGUGAUUCAUGACUGGGGUGAAGUCGUAACAAGGUAACCGUAGGGGAACCUGCGGUUGGAUCACCUCCUUA
This 536-nucleotide ribosomal RNA is filed under the name Salmonella enterica subsp. enterica serovar Infantis. RNAcentral describes it as "bacterial SSU rRNA". It matches the Rfam family "Bacterial small subunit ribosomal RNA", at positions 997 to 1533 of the family's 1533-position model. Lineage: Bacteria; Pseudomonadati; Pseudomonadota; Gammaproteobacteria; Enterobacterales; Enterobacteriaceae. The record is from RNAcentral. RNAcentral also lists the same sequence under 4 other names.